CCAUAAAUUUUUUAUUUUUACUUUUGUUUUUAAGUGCUUCUCCUUUUAAUUCUGUUUUUUAUUAGGGGGAAAAUAAAAAAAAAAAAGACAACUCUGUUUAAAUUAGCGUGCGAUAUUUAUGUUUAUAUUUGUAUUAUGAUCCUCAGAGACACCAUAUAACCUAUGUAUGAUAUUUUGGAAAUUAAUCUGUGUGUGUAUAGAAAUGAAUUGGGUUGUUUUUGGCAUAGUCAUAAUUUGUGGGUAGGUGAAAAUUGUGCAACAAUACAGUGAGAAAUAAGAUACGAUCCAUUAAAACUCAC
Molecule: long non-coding RNA, 299 nt
Filed under: Carica papaya (papaya)
Lineage: Eukaryota; Viridiplantae; Streptophyta; Magnoliopsida; Brassicales; Caricaceae
Description: long non-coding RNA (CPAP_LNC013579)
Source: RNAcentral